This 343-nucleotide unclassified non-coding RNA is filed under the name soil metagenome. Its description in RNAcentral is "partial contains 5.8S ribosomal RNA, internal transcribed spacer 2, and large subunit ribosomal RNA". The stretch from base 1 to 120 matches the Rfam family "5.8S ribosomal RNA", at positions 35 to 154 of the family's 154-position model. The record is from RNAcentral.
GAUGAAGAACGUAGCGAAAUGCGAUACGUAAUGUGAAUUGCAGAAUUCAGUGAAUCAUCGAAUCUUUGAACGCACAUUGCGCCCGCCAGUAUUCUGGCGGGCAUGCCUGUUCGAGCGUCAUUUCAACCCUCAGGCCCCGCCUGGCGUUGGGGAUCGGCGCGGCCCUCUCCGGGCUGCCGGCCCCGAAAACUAGUGGCGGUCUCGCUGUAGUCCUCCUCUGCGCAGUAGCAACGCUCGCACUGGAACUCGGCGCGGCCACGCCGUAAAACACCCCACUUCUGAAAGUUGACCUCGGAUCAGGUAGGAAUACCCGCUGAACUUAAGCAUAUCAAUAAGCGGAGGA